This 444-nucleotide ribosomal RNA is filed under the name uncultured bacterium. Its description in RNAcentral is "bacterial SSU rRNA". It matches the Rfam family "Bacterial small subunit ribosomal RNA", at positions 329 to 793 of the family's 1533-position model. The record is from RNAcentral.
GUCCAGACUCCUACGGGAGGCAGCAGUGGGGAAUAUUGCACAAUGGGGGAAACCCUGAUGCAGCGACGCCGCGUGAGUGAAGAAGUAUUUCGGUAUGUAAAGCUCUAUCAGCAGGGAAGAAGACGGUACCUCUUGAAUAAGCCACGGCUAACUACGUGCCAGCAGCCGCGGUAAUACGUAGGUGGCAAGCGUUGUCCGGAUUUACUGGGUGUAAAGGGCGUGCAGCCGGGCUGACAAGUCAGAUGUGAAAUCCCGCGGCUCAACCGCGGAACUGCAUUUGAAACUGUCAGUCUUGAGUACCGGAGAGGUCAUCGGAAUUCCUUGUGUAGCGGUGAAAUGCGUAGAUAUAAGGAAGAACACCAGUGGCGAAGGCGGAUGACUGGACGGCAACUGACGGUGAGGCGCGAAAGCGUGGGGAGCAAACAGGAUUAGAUACCCUUGUAC